RNAcentral lists this ribosomal RNA (240 nucleotides) under uncultured bacterium. Its description in RNAcentral is "partial 16S ribosomal RNA". It matches the Rfam family "Bacterial small subunit ribosomal RNA", at positions 100 to 334 of the family's 1533-position model. The record is from RNAcentral.
CCGGCACGGGUGAGUAACACGUAUGCAAUCCACCUGUAACAGGGGGAUAACCCGGAGAAAUCCGGACUAAUACCCCAUAAUAUGGGCGCUCCGCAUGGAGAGCCCAUUAAAGAGAGCAAUUUUGGUUACAGACGAGCAUGCGCUCCAUUAGCCAGUUGGCGGGGUAACGGCCCACCAAAGCGACGAUGGAUAGGGGUUCUGAGAGGAAGGUCCCCCACAUGGAACUGAGACACGGUCCAA